This 507-nucleotide ribosomal RNA is filed under the name uncultured bacterium. RNAcentral describes it as "partial 16S ribosomal RNA". It matches the Rfam family "Bacterial small subunit ribosomal RNA", at positions 899 to 1397 of the family's 1533-position model. The record is from RNAcentral.
ACUCAAAUGAAUUGACGGGGGCUCACACAAGCGGUGGAGCAUGUGGCUUAAUUCGAAGCAACGCGAAGAACCUUAUCCAAGGCUUGACAUGCACGGAUUAGUUCGAUGAAAGUUGAAUGACACCCGCAAGGGUGGAACGUGCACAGGUGCUGCAUGGCUGUCGUCAGCUCGUGCUGUGAAGUGUCGGGUUAAGUCCCUCAACGAGCGAAACCCUUGUCGCUAGUUACUAACGGGUCAUGCCGAGGACUCUAGCGAGACUGCCGGCGUUAAGCCGGAGGAAGGUGGGGAUGACGUCAAGUCCUCAUGGCCUUUAUGCCUUGGGCUGCACACGUGCUACAAUGGAAUGAACAGAGCGAAGCAAUACCGCAAGGUGGAGCAAAUCGCAAAAAACAUUCCCCAGUUCAGAUCGUGGUCUGCAACCCGACCACGUGAAGCCGGAAUCGCUAGUAAUCGCGCAUCAGCUACGGCGCGGUGAAUAUGUUCCUGAGCCUUGCACACACCGCCCGU